GGACCCGGUCAGGGGUUAUCUGAACCCUGAGGCAGAGUACCCGAAAGUUUACUGUUGUAUUACUUAUUAUUGUGUUGUUUGUAUUACAACUGCAGACCUACUUUCGCCAACCCCUGUGCUAGCUUCGCACGCCGUGUCUUCCCUUCAUGAGCGCCCCAGGUUCCAACCACCUCUCUGGGCAGCCCACCCCGAUUUCAGGGACACGCACAGGACAGCAUGGGGCCCUGCAUGGAGUAGGUGCUCUCCACAUACUUGCUGUAGCUGAUGGGGAUCUGCGAGCAUCCUUCCUGCAACCGCAACGGGUGGCACAGGACACAGAACCUGGAAAAUGGAAGUGCUAAAAUCUGCCAGCAUUUUUGGAAGGAUCCCUGGAUCUACCAGCAUUCUCCCCAAGAGAUCUGGAGGACUUCACAGGGAGACGCCUGCCCCUUCGGUCAGUCAUUCUCAGUGGGCUUACGCGGGAGACAAGCAACCAUGGAGGGCCCACUGCGUAGGUCUCUCUGCAGGAAGCUCCGAGGGGACACCCUAGAGCAGUGAUGGAGAACCUAUGACACGUGUGUCAGAGGUGACACGCAAACUCAUUUUUUUGGUUGAUUUUUCUUUGUUA
Long non-coding RNA from Myotis myotis, 607 nucleotides. RefSeq lists it as uncharacterized. The record is from RefSeq and is a predicted model, not a curated record. The transcript has 3 exons. Lineage: Eukaryota; Metazoa; Chordata; Mammalia; Chiroptera; Vespertilionidae.